Molecule: ribosomal RNA, 468 nt
Filed under: uncultured bacterium
Lineage: Bacteria
Description: partial 16S ribosomal RNA
Rfam family: Bacterial small subunit ribosomal RNA
Source: RNAcentral
GACCAACGCUGGCGGCGUGCUUAACACAUGCAAGUCGAACGGAAAGGCCCUGCUUUUGUGGGGUGCUCGAGUGGCGAACGGGUGAGUAACACGUGAGUAACCUGCCCUUGACUUUGGGAUAACUUCAGGAAACUGGGGCUAAUACCGGAUAGGAGCUCCUGCUGCAUGGUGGGGGUUGGAAAGUUUCGGCGGUUGGGGAUGGACUCGCGGCUUAUCAGCUUGUUGGUGGGGUAGUGGCUUACCAAGGCUUUGACGGGUAGCCGGCCUGAGAGGGUGACCGGCCACAUUGGGACUGAGAUACGGCCCAGACUCCUACGGGAGGCAGCAGUGGGGAAUAUUGCACAAUGGGCGGAAGCCUGAUGCAGCAACACCGCGUGCGGGAUGACGGCCUUCGGGUUGUAAACCGCUUUCGCCUGUGACGAAGCGUGAGUGACGGUAAUGGGUAAAGAAGCACCGGCUAACUACGUG